This is a long non-coding RNA of Mesocricetus auratus (golden hamster), 3030 nucleotides long. RefSeq lists it as uncharacterized. The transcript has 2 exons. NCBI's taxonomy places the organism in Eukaryota, Metazoa, Chordata, Mammalia, Rodentia, Cricetidae. The record is from RefSeq and is a predicted model, not a curated record.
GGACUACAGCUUGGAGCUUCACUUGGAGCAGACUGAGCCACACUUGCCACUCUCCUGUGAGGAACAACAGAUGACCAAAGCUCAGUAGUUCUUCAGUGUAGAAACCUGUGACAGACUAGGCUUACCGCCUUUCUUUUCUAUAUUAUAUGUGGUUACCCAGGUACCUGUCAUUGGAAAUGUUUCCAGGAGGAAACAAUAAUUUCCUCCCCUUAGUGCACUAUUCUUAGUGCACUAGUGGACUAUUCUUCCACUUUUGAGUUGAGACCUGGAAAAUCGAGCUGACACUCAUUAUCAACAACCCUAAUCUAUAAAUAAAGCACAGGUAUGAACAUAUAACUGCAUACAUGACUAAAAUAGUAACAAUACCAUCUACUACUGUGUAAUCUAUGCUGAUGUUUAUAUGCAUCAUCUUUUGUUUUGAGACAGGGUCUAUGUAGCCCAGGUGGCAUUGAACCUUCCUCAGCCUUCUGAAUCCUCUGAAUUACAGGCCUGAGGUAUGAUACCUGACCCUCACUUUACAAAAAUAGUUGUUACAGUCUACUAAAUUGAUUCAUGCCUCAUUAAUAAGUCAUGAGCCACAGUUUCACCUCGUGCUCUCCUGAGUCUUUCUCAGCUAUCUACCUUUCCUGAUCUUCCAAUGCUCUUCACCAGGUGUUAGCUCUGGAAAUGGCCCUUAAGACACAGACAGUAUGCACAAGGUUUUGACCAAUAUCUUCAAGGUCUGCACUGUAUUUUUCCUCUGUUGCUCUAAUGUUAAACACUGACUUCCACAAAAAAUGUUGUGUUUUUUGUGCUAUUUAUCAUCAUCGGAAAUGGGAUCAACCAGAACUCUGGCUUAAAACUAAAGGUUUAUAUGUAUGUUUUCAGGGCUGACCAUUUGGGAUUGGAUAGACAACUGAGCAGAUUGCACUCAUGUAUUUAGGAAUGUAUGUAUGAAUGUAUCAACACUUAGUGAUAAAAGAGGGCAUGAUUUCAAAGAUUAUAAAGAGGGAUAUAUGUGAGUUUUAAGGGAAGAAAUGGAAGGGAGAAAUGACAUAAUUAUAUUAUAAUCUCAAAAAAGAAAUAAUUAUGUAUGGUAUAGGAACUAACACUAUUUGAGGUUGGGAUGUUAUUUUCCACAGGCGGAUUUAUUUUUAUUUAUUAUGUAUAAAGAAUUUAUUAUGUAUACAGUGUUCUGCCUACACGCAACCCUGCAGGCCAGAAGAGGGCACCAGAUGUCACUACAGAGCUGUGAGCCACUCUGCAGUUGCUGGGAAUUGAACUCAGGACCUCUGUAAGACCACCCAGGGUUUUUAACCACUAAGCCAUCUCUCCAGCUCUAGAAGCUUUCUUAAAAUCAGUAAUGAGUGUGUGAAGGGGUGCAGAAAGCAGGGGGAGGGCUCUGUAACUAAGCCCUGUAACUGGUGAGAGAGCAUUUGAGGAAACAGGCCUUAAAAUGAACUGUAUCAACUCCUGUGGAUCCUUCCUUAUCCAUUAUAUAAAGGAAACUAGGACAUAUGUUUUGGAAAUAUGGAAAAUAUGCACAAAACAGCAGAUAUCUGAAGCUAAGUAAAAUUAGUUACAGCAGGGGUUUUCCACCAGCACAAAUGUGGCUUACCAUUCCUGCAGCUCAGGAGAAGGGAUCAAUCCUGCAGACUCCUUGGAGGAGCCUUCCACCCGCCCCUGCCACCAAUUGCUGUCAUCUUUGUUGAUGAUCUGGAUAAUGUCUCCAGUAACAAACUUCAGUCCUGCCUCUUUGCAAGGGAUAAGAUUAUCCUUUUUGGGAUCAUAGUCAAACUGUGCUCUCAUGAACAUCUGUAAAAGAAAGAAAAGAGGACCUCAGGGAAAACAUUGGUGCUAGAGCAUGUCCUGCUGUAAGGAAAUGGGAAAUGAGCAAGAGUGAGGAAAGAAUGAUAAGGGAGCACCCAAACAUGUGCAGCUGGAAUGUUCAAGUGUUUCUAACUACUUACUGUUGUGUUUGCAGGAGAAUCAAAACUGAUCCUUUUAAUAAGAAGGUAUUUCCGUGAAAUGCCUUUCUGGUUCAACAUGUUUCCAGCUAUUGAAUCUGAGUUGUCCACCUCAGAGCAUAGAGCUGCUACCAUCCAUCUGAAAUGGAUCUGCUUCCUUGACAAGAUACUCUCACGAAUAUGGAAAAGUUGAUAAACCUUUCUCUAGAGGACAGUCUAUAAAUGUGUCCAUCAUCUUCAAAUGUUGACAUUCUUUGCCCCACCUUGAUUCCUAUGCAUUUAUCUUAUAUAAAAGAGCUGCUAGUAAUGAUUAUGUGGAUAAGCAUGUGUAUCAAAGCAUUAUUUAUAAGAAUGAAGUAUUGGAAACAAUUUAAUUUCCUAAGAUGUUCUUUUUUUUUUUUUAUUCCGAGACAGGGUUUCUCUGUGUAGCUUUGGAGCCUGUCCUGACACUGGCUCUGUAGACCAGGCUGGCUUUGAACUCAGAGAUUGCCAGUCAGCUGAGUGAUGGGAUUAAAGGUGUGUGCCACCACUGCCUGGCAAGACAUUCUUAUUUAUCCAUGAUAAAUAGCUAAACAUCUGCUGAGUAUAUUACCAGUAUAUUAUAUAUUUUGUAACACAAAAAAACCAACUAAUGUCCUUGGCAAUCCUGCUGACAUAUGAAAUAAGAACAUUAUUAAACAAAAUAAUACCUAGAAUGGUCAAAAUUUUUAAAAAUGACCAGAAAAAAUUAUACUAGAAUUUAAUAUUGAUUUUCUUGGUUAGUUUUUAUCAACUUGACACAACCUAGAGUUAUCUGGGAAGAGGGAACCUCAAUUGAAGAAUAGCUUCAGAGUGGGGCCUGUGGCCAUGUCUGUUAUAAAUUGUUUUGAAUAAUGAUGGAUAUGGGAGGCCCCAGCCCACUAUGGGCAGCAUCAUCACUAGGAAAGAGGGUUGCAUAAGAAAGCUAGCAGAGAACAAACAAGACAGGAAAUGGCAUUCCUCCAUGUUCCAGCCUCAGAUUCCUGCUUUGAGUUUCUACUCUAGCUUCCCUCAAGGAUACAUUGUAAUCUGGAAUUAUAAGCUGAAAUAAAUCCUUUCCUCCCAA